This 345-nucleotide ribosomal RNA is filed under the name uncultured soil bacterium. Its description in RNAcentral is "bacterial SSU rRNA". It matches the Rfam family "Bacterial small subunit ribosomal RNA", at positions 26 to 348 of the family's 1533-position model. The record is from RNAcentral.
AGAAUGAACGCUGGCGGCGUGGUUAAGACAUGCAAGUCGAACGGUUUUUCAGGUGUAGCAAUACAUUUGAAAGACAGUGGCGAACGGGUGCGUAACACGUGAACAAUCUACCUUUUAAUGGGGAAUAGCUCGCCGAAAGGCGAAUUAAUACCGCAUACGGUUGGUUUCCUCCUGGAGACCAUACCAAAGUCAGGGACCGCAAGGCCUGACGUUAGAAGAGGAGUUCGCGGCCUAUCAGCUAGUUGGCGAGGUAACGGCUCACCAAGGCUAAGACGGGUAGCUGGUCUGAGAGGAUGAUCAGCCACACUGGAACUGGAGACACGGUCCAGACGACCGUACGGGGUG